This is a long non-coding RNA of Talpa occidentalis (Iberian mole), 5474 nucleotides long. RefSeq lists it as uncharacterized. NCBI's taxonomy places the organism in Eukaryota, Metazoa, Chordata, Mammalia, Eulipotyphla, Talpidae. The record is from RefSeq and is a predicted model, not a curated record. The transcript has 4 exons.
AACUGCUUGAUGUUAUUUUACAUAUAUAUUUAUAACAAUAAAAAUGCAAGUUUAAAAGUAAAUGAUUUAUAAACAUAAUUACCACAUUCAACAAUAAAAUGGAAAAACUAAUAAUUGGAAAAAGUCUUAAAUUUAGCAUUCACUUAUUAUGCUAAGCAAAGUAAGUCAGAAGGUAAAAGAUAAAUAUCAUAUGGUUUCAUUUAUAUGUAGAAUACAGAGAAUCUGAACAAAAUGUCUAGAAAAAGACAAAACUUUCAAAUUAUGUGCCCUUAAGGGAAAAAUCUCUCUUCCCAACCUGAGCACGCCACUGUCACCAAUGGACAGAUCAACAAGACAAAAAAUAAACAAGAACAUACUAACACUAAAUAAAGAUCUAGACCACAUGGGCCCAAGAGACAUCGGUAAGACACUGCACCUCCAAAAACUGAAUACACACUUCUCAAGUGCACACUGAUCAUUCUCCAGGAUCAGUCACAUGUACUGGGUCACAAGACAAAUAUCAACAAGUACAUGAAGAUUGAAAUAAUACCAUAAAUUCAUCAAACUAGAAAUCAACUAUGAAAAGAGCAAGGAACCCCCACUACACAUGGAAAUGGAACAACAUGCAACUGAGAGACCACUGCACUAAAGAUGAAAUCAAAGAAGAAAUGAAAAAGUACCUUGAAUGAAUGAAAAUGAGGGAAACAGCUUUUCAGAAGGCAUGGGACACAGCAAAAGCAGUAUCAAGAGGAAAGUAUAAAAUAAUUCAGGUCCACAUCAAGAAACAAGAAAAAAACAAUAAAAUACCUAAUCUCCCAUCUCGAAGAACUAGAAAAAGAACAUAAAACCCCAAAAGCCAGUAGAAGAAAGGAAAUAACAAAAAUUAAAGCAGAAAUAAAUGAAAUAGAAAUAAAAGACAGUCCAAAAGAUCAUUGAAACCAAAAGCUGGUUCUUUGAAAAAAAUGAAUAGAUAACCCUCCAGCUAGACUCACAAAGAAAAACAAGAGGGGAGACUCAAAUAGGAUCAUAAAUGAAAGAGGAAAAAUCACAACAGACAGAGCAGACAGAACUGUGGUCAAGAAAAGACCACAUACUGGGUCACGAGACAAACACAGUCCGAGAUUACUAUGAACCUCUACAUGCAAACAAGUUCAACAAUCUAGAUGCGAUGGAUAGAUUCUUAAGCUAAUAAACAGUGGCACCUGGGUAUCUGGGCGGUGGCCCAUCCGUGUAUGGAUGAAACCACAAAAUGAAAACAAAAUUUAGAAAUGAGCUUGAUAUCCUUCACUCAAGGGAACACCAUCAGUGGAUUGGAGGUGAGGAGGGUAGGACACACUUCCUGAGAAAUUUUGGCCAAAAACAGGUUAUACAGAGAGUUGGAAGUGGCAGUAUUGAAAUAGAGCAUGACUGGCUGGGAUUGCCAAUAUCUGACAUUAUCUUAAAAGAUCAAGGAACAGGAAAUAAGCACAGGGCCAGGGCUGCAUGGUGUCUGGGGUCUGGCUGACUAGACGAGCUGCCCUUCUGGUGAAGGGUAGAUUCAUGGAAACAGGAACACCCCGAACUGACCUGACACCCUGGGCAGGCUGGCUCCAUCCUGGGCUAGAGAUUCACUUCAACAUGAAGAGGUGAUGAGUACUUGUUAUUUCUUUUUUUUUAAAAUAAUUUACUUUCUCCUCUCUGGCGUACUAAUAAAAUCCCUUAAAUGAAAAAAAAAAAAAUCAAAUGUCAAAAUCAAGUAACAGGAAAAAAAAAAAAUCAAAAGAGGAGGCAGCAACUGCAGUCUGCACACCACCCACGCCCUUGGUUGCUGGACUUUCCUGAUGCCCUCCAGAACUGACUCUCCCAUCCUCUGUCCUUUGUCUGCAGUUGAAGAUGUUAUUUGAAGAGGUGGCUGAGGCCAUUUCGCGGGUUACUCAGCUUUCCUGGGUCUUCCCCAGGUUUGCAAGGACGUAUCCAUGUUUAUUAAAAUUAUUUUUCUCCAACUAAUUGGCCUUUUAUUACAGGAAGUUCUCAGCCAAGAACCCUGCAGGAUACAGGGGAAAUUACUUUUCCUCCCUUACAGGAUCCUGACUCAUACACAGAGGACUUUACAAAAUGGGAGACAGAAGGUGUUACAGAGCAAACCUGAAGGAAGGGGUUGACCCAGGUCCCCCAAGUCUCUGGUGCCAGUCCCAGGCCAAGAAGGCAGCAGACUUCCUGCCCGCCUGUGACCUGUACCUGCCGGGGCUUCUCUUCACUGACCUCCCUCAGCGGAGGCAGCUCUCCUCAAGGCCCCGCGUGCAACCAUGCAGGCCUCUCUCAGCAAAUCUGUCCCUUCGGGGCAGCCCUUCCUGCCCGCUUGUGUCCAUGCAAGUGUCUUUUACUCUUCUGUCCCUUUCCCCAAUAAACCUGCCCAUUAACUACAACUAACGUCUCUGUCUCAUGGAGAAACUCCUGGGAAACUCGCUGCUUGCUGCUGAAAUGGGAGCUCUGGUGAAAUCUGUCCCAGAGUGAACCCAAGGACCCCGCAAUCCAAAUCCACUGACUCCAAAAACCCUGUUGGAAGCACUGAGAACCGUACCAGCAGUGAAAACACUCCUCAGAGGUGUCAGCAAUACCUGCCACUGCUUUUCCCAUCAUUCUCAUCCCAUCAGCAUGACAACCGUCAACCGGGGACGCCAGCAGAAGCUGAGAAAGAAGCAAAGUGGAGCAGAACCACAAGAGAGCAGAGAAGCAGAGACCACCAGAGAACGCUGGAGAGCCCAGAAAGAGUGAAGACUUGCUGGGGGCUGGAAGGCUGGCAGGCCCCCAGCACCCUGCCUGCUGUGUACCUGGUAAACCCCAAUAAAAGCCUGCAAAAGCCACCGAGGGCUCCAGGACUCCUCCUUUACCGGGUCUGCUGGAUCAGAAUACUGGCUCAGUGUCAUUCCUGCCUCUACAGGCACCCUUUUGGUUCCAGCCCAGUGGUUCUCAAUCAGGCUGAGAAGUGGACUUGGGGGCUGGAGCACCCUGUUCCUAACUGACUGCCUGGAACCAAUUCCUUGCUUCCUCCCUCACUAUCCCCAAAUAGCAUUAGUCAGCUCAGUGUGAUUUUUAAAGGAAAAGGUACCUUCUCAAUAGCUCCAACGUCUGAAAAUUACCCAAAACGCCUUAGUUGAUUUUAGGAAAUGAUCGCCAAUGCUACCAAAAUCUAAAAACAACAGUAAUAUAAAACCAACACUUCCCUAGUUCCCUUUAUAAAUAAACUUGUAAAAGCUGUGAAGCUGCCCACAGCCUCUGCAGUGUGGGUUUGAUCCCCGCUGGCUGGCGAGAAUCCCACAUGGCGUGGCAGACCUCUCCUGUCAGCAGGCUGCUCCCCUCAGCAGUGUAUUUCAUCAGUCUGCCUGUUCUGUUCCCCACUCUCUCUGGUGAAUCCUCUCACCCUCCCUCCCGCACAUCUGGCCUGUACCUGGGUUCUUGUAUGCAUGACUAAAUCUUAAAAAACAAAACAAAACACAUCUGUAGGGUAAAGAAAAUUUCAGGCUUUUCUGCCCUUCUGCCAUCAGGAUAGAUGAUGGAUCCUUGUCCUGAAUGCAUGCCUGAUGGCGGGCACCUGGAAUAGGGUGUGGGCAUAGGUAGAUGGGAUUCAGCUGAGCUAAGACUGUGCUUUUAAGGGUGGUGUCACGGGGACGCCAGCAGCAGCAGCAGUAGAAGCCGAAGCCGAAAGAGAAACCGAGAAGCAGCAGAACGAACGCCUGACGUAAGUCGGCAAGAUCCAUGCAGACGGGUAUUGGAGCCCUCCAAAGACCUGGAGGGACUAAGGAGAACAGACUGUUUACCUGUGAUGACGCUGGAAGCGCCAUGGCGGCACAGAAGGUGGACAACGUCCACAAGCUACAGGAUGAGACCUGGCGUGAAGGAGACACCAAAGAGAACCAGCCAACGACACCUGAAAGGACCAGCCAAUGACCCUUGAGGCAGCAGACUCAUCGGCGAAAAGUGGACCAUGACUCAGCUCGCCAGUGCUGAUGCAGGGAGAGGCCAACGGACUUUGACUGCUGGACAUGGACUGAUGAACUUGGACUGACAAACCUGCCAGAAGGCGGAGGACCUUGAAGGUUGAUAUGUUUUGGGACCCUGGGGGUGGAACAGUUUUGUUUGUACACCCCAGGAGAUGGGAAUCUGGGGGUAGCCAGUGGGCCUUGAUGGCCAAAAGCAGCCUGUGCAUGCCCAGCAGCCAGGUGGAGGAGAAAAGCCAACUGAGAAGGCAAAAGCUGGUGCUGAUGCUAAGUUGAGAAGCCCUGAGUGGCUGUUAAGCAGCCUGGGUAUGCUGAAGCCCUGUGAGUCUCGUAAAAUCACCUGCGGGUGAUGCCCUGCUCAUUCUCGGGUGAGGGUGAGGAGCUGAGUAACCUGUCCUUGGGGGACGGGUGGGGAACGUGGCUUGGGGUGGAGCCCAAGACGCAUGUAGAGUUUGGAUCCCCGACCCAUGUGCUUGUGCAGUGGGUUGGCCUGAGUGCAGGGGUCUGCGUGUCGUAUGGGUGGCUAUGAAGGCCGAGUGUUGGAGCGACUGCAGACAGAAAUCCUGAGGGUUGGCGAUUACCCCCAACAGAAUAGAAUCGCCAAUCCCAGAGCUAGUGCAUCCUGGGGGUGGAUGCUGUGUGUGGCUUGUAGCUGAGACUACAGCCAGAGAAGGCCAGGAAGCCUGACGGCUCCGGGCAUGUUGCAAUAGAUGUCGUGAGUGAUUCCCCUCCCACGUAUGAGCAGUGCCUUUGGCAGCAGAUUUGGUGGCUCAUCUGCUGGUACCAAUAGUUGUCUUUUGCACUAGGUUGGUGCCCUGCCUGGACUUAUUUGUGUUCUGUUGUAUUUUGUUAUAUUGUAUUUUGUUAUAUUUGAUGUAUUUGAUUUUGUGGGCCAUGGCUGCAUUGUUUGUUUGCUUAGAAAAUUGUAUAUAUAUGUAUAGACUGUAUGGCAGAAAACCCUGAGGGGAUGGCCUGUAGGGUAAAGAAAAUAUCAGGCUUUUCUGCCCUCCCGCCAUCAGGAUAGAUGAUGGAUCCUUGUCCUGAAUGCAUGCCUGAUGGCGGGCACCUGGAAUAGGGUGUGGGCAUAGGUAGAUGUGAUUCACCUGGGCUAAGACUGGGCUUUUAAGGGCGGCGUCACGGGGACGCCAGCAGCAGCAGCCGAAGCCGAAAGAGAAGCCGAGAAGCAGCAGAACGAACGCCAGAGAGCCCAGAUAGAGUGAAGACUUGCUGGGGGCUGGGAGGCCUGCCAGCACCCCUGCCUGCCAUAUGCCUGGUGAACCCCAAUAAAAGACCUGCAAAACCACUGAGGACUCUGACUCCUCCUUUACCUGGUCUGCAUGGGAUCAGAAAACCUGCACUGUAUCCAGUCCUGCCCCUACACCAUCACAAAACAAAAAACAACCCCCAGAACCGAAAAAACACCCCCCCUCUCUAGGCAGAGGCAGAUAUGUGAACAUCUCCAAUACAAGAAAAUGCAAAUCACCGACUCAGACACCCCUGCUCCCCCCAGAGCCCAGG